This 484-nucleotide ribosomal RNA is filed under the name uncultured bacterium. Its description in RNAcentral is "partial 16S ribosomal RNA". It matches the Rfam family "Bacterial small subunit ribosomal RNA", at positions 30 to 507 of the family's 1533-position model. The record is from RNAcentral.
AUUGAACGCUGGCGGCAGGCCUAACACAUGCAAGUCGAGCGGAUGAAGGGAGCUUGCUCCUGGAUUCAGCGGCGGACGGGUGAGUAAUGCCUAGGAAUCUGCCUGGUAGUGGGGGAUAACGUCCGGAAACGGGCGCUAAUACCGCAUACGUCCUGAGGGAGAAAGUGGGGGAUCUUCGGACCUCACGCUAUCAGAUGAGCCUAGGUCGGACUAGCUAGUUGGUGGGGUAAAGGCCUACCAAGGCGACGAUCCGUAACUGGUCUGAGAGGAUGAUCAGUCACACUGGAACGGAGACGCGGUCCAGGCUCCUAAGGGAGGCAGCAGUGGGGAAUAUUAGACAAUGGGCGAAAACCUGAUCCAGCCAUGCCGCGUGUGUGAAGAAGGUCUUCGGAUUGUAAAGCACGUUAAGUGGGGAGGAAGGGCAGUAAGUUAAGACCUUGCUGUUUUGACGUUACCAACAGAAUAAGCACCGGCUAACUUCGUG